AUUUAUGUCUGAAUUAGCUGGCUACUCUUUCUAAAGACUUCGGUCAUCAGUGCAGAGAGGUAGCCAAGCCUGCUGUGAGGAUUAGAGCACCAUGAGCUACCUGCCUAUGUCAGAAAAGAUGAGAUGAAGCCCCCUUGAAAUCUGAAAGGUGACAUGUAUUUUGCCACAAAACUCUCUCAUCCAAAUAAGACAAGGAAUUAUUUUCUUUUCCAAGCCUGGUCUGAAGCAAGGAAGUGCUCUCCUGAAAGCCUAUGGUCUUCUGUCACUCUUCAUUCAUAUACUUGUUUCUGUCUUGUUUCCCUUACUUCUUAACUUCUGGAAGCCCAAUCUUC
This 332-nucleotide long non-coding RNA is filed under the name Columba livia (rock pigeon). RNAcentral's name for it is "partial uncharacterized LOC102098848, transcript variant X3". Lineage: Eukaryota; Metazoa; Chordata; Aves; Columbiformes; Columbidae. The record is from RNAcentral.